UACGUAGGGUGCGAGCGUUAAUCGGAAUUACUGGGCGUAAAGCGUGCGCAGGCGGUUUUGUAAGCCAGGUGUGAAAUCCCCGGGCUCAACCUGGGAAUGGCAUUUGGGACUGCAAGGCUGGAGUGCGGCAGAGGAGACUGGAAUUCCUGGUGUAGCAGUGAAAUGCGUAGAUACCAGGAGGAACACCGAUGGCGAAGGCAGGUCUCUGGGCUGACACUGACGCUCAUGCACGAAAGCGUGGGGAGCAAACAGG
Molecule: ribosomal RNA, 253 nt
Filed under: uncultured bacterium
Lineage: Bacteria
Description: partial 16S ribosomal RNA
Rfam family: Bacterial small subunit ribosomal RNA
Source: RNAcentral